This 459-nucleotide long non-coding RNA is filed under the name Equus asinus (donkey). RNAcentral's name for it is "lncRNA (ENSEASG00005036325.1)". Lineage: Eukaryota; Metazoa; Chordata; Mammalia; Perissodactyla; Equidae. The record is from RNAcentral.
GGGACGGCCACAGUGCGGCCCGAAAGCGGCGCCUGCACCGCCACCUCCGUCACCGGCCUGAUCCAGGGUCUGCGGCCCCCCGCCGCCUGGCAGGCCCCCGGCGACCCUGGUCCGCUGGCGUCCCCGCAGGAGGUUCCCCGCGGCGCGCGCACGGCGGGCGCUGCCUGGCCUUCGGAGGGGCGUCCCGAAAAGGGCCCUGGACGACGAGCAAGAGACCAAUGACAAACAUUUCCCAAACUGGCCCUAGCCUGUGGACCAGACCUUGACCAGCAGCACUUCUGGGCAGUGUUUGUCCCUGGGGGCGAAGAGGACUGAUGGUCAGAGCCGACCCUUAUUCCACUCUUACUCUCUGGCACAGCACCCUCGUGAAGAAACAAAGAGGCCCUCCUAGGUGUCCCUGGACUCCUUUCUGCACCUCACCCGGUCCAGCUGGGCUCCAGAUGAGAAAUAUUAACCAAC